UGCCAGCAGCCGCGGUAACACGGAGGGGGUUAGCGUUGUUCGGAAUUACUGGGCGUAAAGCGCACGUAGGCGGACUGUUAAGUUAGAGGUGAAAUCCCGGGGCUCAACCCCGGAACUGCCUUUAAUACUGGCAGUCUAGAGUUCGAGAGAGGUGAGUGGAAUUCCGAGUGUAGAGGUGAAAUUCGUAGAUAUGUGGAGGAAUACCAGUGGCGAAGGCGGCCUCCUGGCUCGAUACUGACGCUGAGGCGCGAAAGCGUGGGGAGCAAACAGGAUUAGAUA
RNAcentral lists this ribosomal RNA (279 nucleotides) under uncultured bacterium. RNAcentral describes it as "partial 16S ribosomal RNA". It matches the Rfam family "Bacterial small subunit ribosomal RNA", at positions 506 to 784 of the family's 1533-position model. The record is from RNAcentral.